GACGAACGCUGGCGGCGUGCUUAACACAUGCAAGUCGAACGGUAAGGCCCUUCGGGGUACACGAGUGGCGAACGGGUGAGUAACACGUGGGUGAUCUGCCCUGCACUUCGGGAUAAGCCUGGGAAACUGGGUCUAAUACCGGAUAGGACCACUGCCUGCAUGGGUGGUGGUGGAAAGCUUUUGCGGUGUGGGAUGGGCCCGCGGCCUAUCAGCUUGUUGGUGGGGGGGUGGCCUACCAAGGCGACGACGGGUCGCCGGCCUGAGAGGGGGACCGGCACCACUGAGACUGAGAUACGGCCCAGACUCGUACGGGAGGCAGCGGUGGGGAAUAUUGCACAAUGGGCGCAAGCCUGAUGCAGCGACGCCGCGUGAGGGAUGACGGCCUUCGGGUUGUAAACCUCUUUCAGCACCGACGAAGCGCAAGUGACGGUAGGUGCAGAAGAAGGACCGGCCAACUACGUGCCAGCAGCCGCCGUAA
Molecule: ribosomal RNA, 478 nt
Filed under: uncultured bacterium
Lineage: Bacteria
Description: partial 16S ribosomal RNA
Rfam family: Bacterial small subunit ribosomal RNA
Source: RNAcentral